GAUGAACGCUGGCGGCGUGCCUAAUACAUGCAAGUCGAGCGAAUGGAUUAAGAGCUUGCUCUUAUGAAGUUAGCGGCGGACGGGUGAGUAACACGUGGGUAACCUGCCCAUAAGACUGGGAUAACUCCGGGAAACCGGGGCUAAUACCGGAUAACAUUUUGAACCGCAUGGUUCGAAAUUGAAAGGCCGCUUCGGCUGUCACUUAUGGAUGGACCCGCGUCGCAUUAGCUAGUUGGUGAGGUAACGGCUCACCACGGCAACGAUGCGUAGCCGACCUGAGAGGGUGAUCGGCCACACUGGGACUGAGACACGGCCCAGACUCCUACGGGAGGCAGCAGUAGGGAAUCUUCCGCAAUGGACAAAAGUCUGACGGAGCAACGCCGCGUGAGUGAUGAAGGCUUUCGGGUCGUAAAACUCUGUUGUUAGGGAAGAACAAGUGCUAGUUGAAUAAGCUGGCACCUUGACGGUACCUAACCAGAAAGCCACGGCUAACUACGUGCCAGCAGCCGCAGUAA
This 515-nucleotide ribosomal RNA is filed under the name uncultured bacterium. RNAcentral's name for it is "partial 16S ribosomal RNA". It matches the Rfam family "Bacterial small subunit ribosomal RNA", at positions 28 to 523 of the family's 1533-position model. The record is from RNAcentral.